RNAcentral lists this long non-coding RNA (418 nucleotides) under Mytilus galloprovincialis (Mediterranean mussel). Lineage: Eukaryota; Metazoa; Mollusca; Bivalvia; Mytilida; Mytilidae. The record is from RNAcentral.
ACAAAAUGUAUAGUGGAUUUUUUAAAGAUAAUAAACAAAACUUGCAUUUUUCCUAUAUGUUCUUUUUUCAGUCAUGUUGUCCAUGUUGGUUAGAUUGCAAGAUCAAAGAAUACAUUUUUUUAUACAAAAUCUCCAAAUAAUGAUUUGGUCAAGUUUGGUCCGGUAGUUUCAUAAAAGUAUUUUUUAAAACGUUAAGAGAUGACAACUGAUGGAUACCACAUCAGAAACGGCAAGUUAUCAGAAUGAGAAUUCUUUGAUAUAAGAAGAUGUGGUAUGAGUGCCAAUAAGACAACUCUCCAUCCAGGUCACAAUUUAUAAAAGUAAUCUAUUAUAGGUCAAGGGAUGGUCUUCAACACGGAGCCUUGGCUCAUACCAAACAUCAAGCUACAAAAGGCUCCAAAAAUUAUUAGUGUAAAAC